CACCUAUACCACUAUAGAGCAAGAGUCCAGAGAUAUUGUCCACAUUGUAACCAUAGACAAGAGAUAGACGAAUCGGAAUUCAGUUAUUAUGGAGAAAGAAGGGUUCAUCAAGACCAUGGAUGCUCUGCUGCAGGAAAUUCCAGUGAAAGAAGUGGUCACAGAUGCCCACAGACAAAUCACAGCAUUACUAGAUCCAACACGGGGAAAAUACAGACAGUGGGGUCUUCAUCACUCCCUGGACAUUUGGCAUGCAGCCAAGAACCUCGCAAAAAAACUGAAGGCUCAAUCAGCAAUCCUGCAGUGGCUGAGACACAUUGUCAACCAUUUCUGGUAUUGCUGCAAACAAGCCACAACGGAAGAGAAAUUCAAAAUAAUGUGGCAUGGUGUUCUACACCAUGUAAGGGACAAGCACCAGUGGUCUUUUGCCAGCUGCGAACAUGGUCCACUUGAGGACAGCAGAGACAAACAGCAGCA
Long non-coding RNA from Epinephelus fuscoguttatus (brown-marbled grouper), 474 nucleotides. RefSeq lists it as uncharacterized. The record is from RefSeq and is a predicted model, not a curated record. The transcript is spliced from 4 exons. Lineage: Eukaryota; Metazoa; Chordata; Actinopteri; Perciformes; Serranidae.